Molecule: long non-coding RNA, 1263 nt
Organism: Bubalus bubalis (water buffalo)
Lineage: Eukaryota; Metazoa; Chordata; Mammalia; Artiodactyla; Bovidae
Exons: 2
Source: RefSeq, a predicted model, not a curated record
GCUACAGUCCACGGGGACUCAAAGAGUCGGAUAGGACUGAGCACGCACAUAUUAUCUUUUAGUGCUAGGGUAAGUUAGUAUCCUUUAGGCUUCUCCACUGUGUGGUUACCAUUUCCCUUUCGAAGUAAGGAGAUUAACGUUGCCCCUAAGUUUUAGCAUCCACUGAUUGUUCCUGCCUCAAUCAGUUACAGCCAUGGUGCUUGCAAUAUGGUGGUUUUCUAACAUUACCAUUCCCAUUAUAUUAGUUUGUAUUCUGUGGUAAUGACAAGCUUUCCUUUGUUGGUUGUUUGCUAUCUGAAUGGACUCAGGGACUCUUAGGUUAUUCAAUCAUUUAUCAACCAUGACUACCACAUUGCUUUUUUCUUAAAGCAAAGGAUAUAGUAAGAGUCUUUAUUCCAAGUACCAAAAUUCAGAAAUAAGGAAAACAAGUAAAAUGCCAACAGUUAAAUAUUAUGACGUAGUUAAAUACCACCUUUAUUGAAUCGCCCCAGAUUCGACCAAUGGGAACUCCUUCCAGGGGAUGCUUUUAAAGCAAGUUUCACUCAGUUUGCAGAAGUUAAGAAUGAAAUCCGAGGCAAUGUGGACAAUGACUUUCUCUGUGCUCAGGAGACUGAACAGUUGGAAGAAGACAGAGCUGAUGUCAGGAGACACGGGCAAGGUGUCAGCUACUGGACUGACCUUGAAAAAUUGUUGCAAUCCAAGGACAUGAGACUUCAGGAAUGCUAUUUACAGAAUAGUUUCGCAAAGCAAGACACCUUACCCAUCUGAGCUGCCCAUCACUCGUGAGCUGCCUGUAGAAACCUCUGAAAUCCCCAACAAUGUCGCCAAGGUCCUUAUUCAGCACGUGGGGGGCCAGAGCAUUCACAGCACAGACAACUGUGAAAGAGGAUACAAUUCUUGAUUAGUGUUGGUGUGAAUAAAUUAAGACACGCAAGUACCGCAAACGAAAAUGGGCAUUUUAUGAAGAUAAUUUUAAAUAUAAAAGGUACAUGCCUUUAAAAAUUGCCUCAAAUAUGUCAUCUGUGGUUGUUACAACUAAUAAACAGAAUAGUUGUUCACCUAUAUUCAGAGCUUAAUUUCUGAACAGAGCAAAUCCAUUUUGAUUGGUUGCCACAUGAAAAGAACAUAGACCUGAAAGUUUAAAGCAUGUUCCCAAAUCAUUUUCCUGUUCACUUUGUAAAGUGUCCAUAUGUCAGCUGCAAAACAAAAUCUUGCUAUUAAAUUGUUCCCAAGGAAUAAUAAGACUGAUUUAUAGAAUUUUGA